Pelobates cultripes (western spadefoot toad) is the source of this 235-nucleotide non-coding RNA. The record is from the annotation of a GenBank genome assembly. Lineage: Eukaryota; Metazoa; Chordata; Amphibia; Anura; Pelobatidae.
GGGGGAAAGGAAAGGGUUAGGAGCAGGGGGUAAUGGGCAAUCAGGAUAUGUGGGGUGUGAUUCCUCCCGUAAGGCUUGCGUCAGUCGGUACCCCUGCUGUGUUUCCCGGUGCGUCUCCAUCACGACGGUAACGGGAGAUGUAUAAGAACCAUGGCAUCCACAGCUCCGCAUGCCUGGUUCCGCAUCCUGUCAGGGUAGCAUGUGCUUCUUCUGCUCCCCAAAUAUCUUCUACUCU